Molecule: ribosomal RNA, 205 nt
Filed under: uncultured bacterium
Lineage: Bacteria
Description: partial 16S ribosomal RNA
Rfam family: Bacterial small subunit ribosomal RNA
Source: RNAcentral
GGAUUGAAGGCUGAAAUUCGCCUUCAUGAAGCCGGAAUUGCUAGUAAUGGCAGGUCAGCAUACUGCCGUGAAUACGUUCCCGGGCCUUGUACACACCGCCCGUCACACCAUGAGAGUUGGGAAUACCCGAAGCCUGUGAGCUAACUUUUAGAGGCAGCAGUCGAAGGUAGAAUCAAUGAUUGGGGUGAAGUCGUAACAAGGUACC